RNAcentral lists this ribosomal RNA (443 nucleotides) under uncultured bacterium. Its description in RNAcentral is "partial 16S ribosomal RNA". It matches the Rfam family "Bacterial small subunit ribosomal RNA", at positions 338 to 795 of the family's 1533-position model. The record is from RNAcentral.
CCUACGGGCGGCAGCAGUGGGGAAUAUUGGGCAAUGGGCGCAAGCCUGACCCAGCAACGCCGCGUGAAGGAAGAAGGCUUUCGGGUUGUAAACUUCUUUUCUGAGGGACGAAGAAAGUGACGGUACCUCAGGAAUACGCCACGGCUAACUACGUGCCAGCAGCCGCGGUAAUACGUAGGCGGCAAGCGUUCUCCGGAUUUAUUGGGUGUAAAGGGAGUGUAGGCGGGAAAGCAAGUCAGAGGUGAAAUCUGAGGGCUCAACCCUGGGCCUGCAUUUGCAACUGUUUUUCGUGAGUGCAGGAGAGGCAAGCGGAAUUCCGGGUGUAGCGGUGAAAGGCGUAGAUAUACGGAGGAACACCGGUGGCGAAGGCGGAUUGCUGGACUGUAACUGACGCUGAGGCUCGAAAGCGUGGGGAGCAAACAGGAUUAGAUACCCUAGUAGUC